CCUACGGGCGGCAGCAGUGGGGAAUAUUGGACAAUGGGCGAAAGCCUGAUCCAGCCAUGCCGCGUGUGUGAAGAAGGCCCUCGGGUUGUAAAGCACUUUCAGUGGGGAAGAAAGCCUUGGGGCUAAUACCCUCGAGGAAGGACAUCACCCACAGAAGAAGCACCGGCUAACUCCGUGCCAGCAGCCGCGGUAAUACGGAGGGUGCGAGCGUUAAUCGGAAUUACUGGGCGUAAAGCGCGCGUAGGCGGUCUGAUAAGCCGGUUGUGAAAGCCCCGGGCUCAACCUGGGAACGGCAUCCGGAACUGUCAGGCUAGAGUGCAGGAGAGGAAGGUAGAAUUCCCGGUGUAGCGGUGAAAUGCGUAGAGAUCGGGAGGAAUACCAGUGGCGAAGGCGGCCUUCUGGACUGACACUGACGCUGAGGUGCGAAAGCGUGGGUAGCAAACAGGAUUAGAUACCCCAGUAGUC
RNAcentral lists this ribosomal RNA (465 nucleotides) under Vreelandella stevensii. Its description in RNAcentral is "partial 16S ribosomal RNA". It matches the Rfam family "Bacterial small subunit ribosomal RNA", at positions 338 to 795 of the family's 1533-position model. Lineage: Bacteria; Pseudomonadati; Pseudomonadota; Gammaproteobacteria; Oceanospirillales; Halomonadaceae. The record is from RNAcentral.